Molecule: ribosomal RNA, 447 nt
Filed under: uncultured bacterium
Lineage: Bacteria
Description: bacterial SSU rRNA
Rfam family: Bacterial small subunit ribosomal RNA
Source: RNAcentral
UACCAGACUCCUACGGGAGGCAGCAGUGGGGGAUAUUGCACAAUGGGGGAAACCCUGAUGCAGCGACGCCGCGUGUGGGAAGACGGUCUUCUGGAUUGUAAACCACUGUCCCCAGGGACGAAAAUGACGGUACCUGGGGAGGAAGCUCCGGCUAACUACGUGCCAGCAGCCGCGGUAAUACGUAGGGGGCAAGCGUUAUCCGGAUUUACUGGGUGUAAAGGGAGCGUAGACGGCUGUGCAAGUCUGAAGUGAAAGCCCAGGGCUCAACCCUGGGACUGCUUUGGAAACUGUGGAGCUAGAGUGCUGGAGAGGUAAGUGGAAUUCCUAGUGUAGCGGUGAAAUGCGUAGAUAUUAGGAGGAACACCAGUGGCGAAGGCGGCUUACUGGACAGUAACUGACGUUGAGGCUCGAAAGCGUGGGGAGCAAACAGGAUUAGAUACCCGCGUA